Sapajus apella (tufted capuchin) is the source of this 801-nucleotide long non-coding RNA. RefSeq lists it as uncharacterized. NCBI's taxonomy places the organism in Eukaryota, Metazoa, Chordata, Mammalia, Primates, Cebidae. The transcript is spliced from 3 exons. The record is from RefSeq and is a predicted model, not a curated record.
AUAUCUUAAAUGUGGUUAUCUUAAAUACUGAGACAACAGGGAUGGAGCAGCCUGUCUAUCCACUGAAGUCGUGUUGUUUGUCCCUGCUGUGUCCUGAGCUGGAAUACUCUUUCUUCUUCCUUCAGAAGACUUUUCAAACUCAGCUUAAGCUCCACUGCCUUAGAGAAUCUUUCCUGUCUGCUUGGACACUCGUCCAGAUUUCUAGAGCAGUAUUCCUGCCCUUUUCCUUUCUGAAUGGGGUGGGAGUUCUCAGAGAACUCAUCUCCUUUGUGGCUUUAUUCAUCACAGCCACAGAGAUAGGUUCUGUCUGGACCACCUUUUUGCCUGAGCUUUUUUUCUUUUUGCCAUAUGUUUUCCUUUCUGUCAGACGCAUGCAUUGGGGAAGCCUCCCAUUGUCUCAGACUCAGGGUGUGAAAAACAAAACAUACUUUGAAAAACAAACCUGCUUUCUGGACUCUACAGUUCAUGUACUGGCCUAAGCUGAAAACCUUGAAAUCUGUCAUCAGUGACUAUUGUAGUCCAUUUUGCAUUGGUGUAAAGAAGUACCCAAGGUUGGGUAAUUUAUAAAGGAAAGAAAGUUUCCUUUUUUUUUUUUUUUUUUUUUUUAGGUCAUAGUUCUUCAAGCUGUUCAAGCAUGGUUCCAGCAUCUGAUCUUUAUUAUUAUUAUUAUUAUUUUUAGUAGAGACAGGGUUUCACCAUGUUGGCCAGGCUGGUCUUGAACUCCUGACCUCAGGUGAUCUGCCCUCCUCAACCUCCCAAAGUGCUGGGAUUACAGGCGUGAUCUGCCACGCCCGGCCAACA